Molecule: ribosomal RNA, 497 nt
Filed under: uncultured bacterium
Lineage: Bacteria
Description: partial 16S ribosomal RNA
Rfam family: Bacterial small subunit ribosomal RNA
Source: RNAcentral
GAUGAACGCUGGCGGCGUGCCUAAUACAUGCAAGUCGAGCGAACGGACGAGAAGCUUGCUUCUCUGAUGUUAGCGGCGGACGGGUGAGUAACACGUGGAUAACCUACCUAUAAGACUGGGAUAACUUCGGGAAACCGGAGCUAAUACCGGAUAAUAUUUUGAACCGCAUGGUUCAAAAGUGAAAGACGGUCUUUCUGUCACUUAUAGAUGGAUCCGCGCUGCAUUAGCUAGUUGGUAAGGUAACGGCUUACCAAGGCAACGAUGCAUAGCCGACCUGAGAGCGUGAUCGGCCCCACUGGAACUGAGACACGGUCCAGACUCCUACGGGAGGCAGCAGUAGGGAAUCUUCCGCAAUGGGCGAAAGCCUGACGGAGCAACGCCGCGUGAGUGAUGAAGGUCUUCGGAUCGUAAAACUCUGUUAUUAGGGAAGAACAUAUGUGUAAGUAACUGUGAACAUCUUGACGGUACCUAAUCAGAAAGCCACGGCUAACUACGUG